AUAUACAACAAAAAUUAACUGCUAUACAAAAAAUUAACUUUUUUAUUUUUCAUUUUUUUAUGCCUUUUAUAUUAUUUACAAAAAUAUUUAUACCACUAUAUACAACACUUUAUUUUACAUUUUUUUAUGCCUUUUAUAUUAUUUACAUAAAUAUUUAUACCACUAUAUACAACACCCAAGGGGAUUCGACCUUGGGAGGCCAAGGGAAGCAACAAACGUCAUAACCAUCCCGCUGUCUCGCCACAUGUGAUUAUAAGUUGUUGAUUAAUAUAAUAUAUUUACAUUUCGUUUUCGUUUAAUGAUGUUUGGGAAUUAUCCCACAUCGAAAGAUGGGUAUUCAACUUUGGUAUAUAAAUACCUAUGUAAUAUGAAU
Molecule: long non-coding RNA, 373 nt
Filed under: Amborella trichopoda
Lineage: Eukaryota; Viridiplantae; Streptophyta; Magnoliopsida; Amborellales; Amborellaceae
Description: long non-coding RNA (ATRI_LNC000442)
Source: RNAcentral